RNAcentral lists this ribosomal RNA (207 nucleotides) under uncultured bacterium. RNAcentral's name for it is "partial 16S ribosomal RNA". It matches the Rfam family "Bacterial small subunit ribosomal RNA", at positions 568 to 774 of the family's 1533-position model. The record is from RNAcentral.
CGUGCAGGUGGUUUGUUAAGUUGGGUGUUAAAGCUCUCGGCUCAACUGAGAGUUGCCGCUCAAUACUAGCAGACUAGAGGAUGGUAGAGGAAGGUGGAAUUCCGGGUGUAGUGGUGAAAUGCGUAGAUAUCCGGAGGAACACCGGUGGCGAAGGCGGCCUUCUGGACCAUUCCUGACACUCAGACGCGAAAGCUAGGGUAGCAAACA